CCUUAGGGUCGUAAAGCUCUUUCGCCAGGGAUGAUAAUGACAGUACCUGGUAAAGAAACCCCGGCUAACUCCGUGCCAGCAGCCGCGGUAAUACGGAGGGGGUUAGCGUUGUUCGGAAUUACUGGGCGUAAAGCGUACGUAGGCGGAUUAGAAAGUUAGGGGUGAAAUCCCGAGGCUCAACCUUGGAACUGCCUCUAAAACUCCAGGUCUUGAGUUCGAGAGAGGUGAGUGGAAUUCCGAGUGUAGAGGUGAAAUUCGUAGAUAUUUGGAGGAACACCAGUGGCGAAGGCGGGCCACUA
RNAcentral lists this ribosomal RNA (299 nucleotides) under uncultured Sulfitobacter sp. RNAcentral describes it as "partial 16S ribosomal RNA". It matches the Rfam family "Bacterial small subunit ribosomal RNA", at positions 415 to 731 of the family's 1533-position model. The record is from RNAcentral. Lineage: Bacteria; Pseudomonadati; Pseudomonadota; Alphaproteobacteria; Rhodobacterales; Roseobacteraceae.